CCAAACAAACGUGCCACGGGCAAUAGUAUUUAUUGGUGAGGCACUGCCAAACCUCCCCAGUUGUCCAUGCACAAAAGGGGUCAGUUCAUCCCUUGCACAGCCCUGCAACUGCAGCCUUGCUUGGUGCAGGGUUUCUUCCGAAGACGUGAGGGUUUUGUCCUGCAAGAGGAGCUGUGUGGGUUUUGCAAUCCAGAUACUCAGGUGACUCAGUGCCUGAGUGGAUCGUUAGAGUCCAGGAUGACUUGGGAGACACAUGGAAGCCAACAUCCACCUGCCAGCUGUAGACGGGGUCCAUCCACUCCGAGGCAGUAACGUCUCAGGUCCAGGCAGGCACCCUGCAGGGGCAUCCUGGCAGGUGACUUGAGAUCUCCAUCAGAUGUAAGAUAGUGGAGGUCUCCAGAGACUUUUCCUACACAAGUACUCCAGUGGCCAAAUUCCUCUGCGGUGCUGACAGACCUCUUACAGCCUCCGGAUUUAAGCAGCGGUACCGAAGGUGUCCUCGGAUGGCCCAGGAUUUCCUCGAGUAUCUGGCAGUGGCAGGUAAAGAGUUAACAAUGGAAAAAUAUGUAUAGGUUUAGGGGAAGGAUUUUUUUUUAAUAUAUGUUUUUUGCUUCACAUCUGAGCUCUUGGCACAGCUUCCCCCGCCUCUAAUCACACCUUAUAACUGCAGUUUAAAUCAAAACCCGCAAGGCUGGACCAGUUGGAUCCAGUUUCUAUUAAGCCAUUUGAUCUGCAACUGAGCAGACUUGCUGUCACCAAGCCAGUCCCCUGCCUGUGCCUCUACAUAAUGAGGCUCCCGUGGCAGUCCGCCACU
Long non-coding RNA from Harpia harpyja (harpy eagle), 814 nucleotides. RefSeq lists it as uncharacterized. The record is from RefSeq and is a predicted model, not a curated record. The transcript has 3 exons. NCBI's taxonomy places the organism in Eukaryota, Metazoa, Chordata, Aves, Accipitriformes, Accipitridae.